RNAcentral lists this ribosomal RNA (497 nucleotides) under uncultured bacterium. RNAcentral describes it as "partial 16S ribosomal RNA". It matches the Rfam family "Bacterial small subunit ribosomal RNA", at positions 28 to 507 of the family's 1533-position model. The record is from RNAcentral.
GAUGAACGCUGGCGGCGUGCCUAAUACAUGCAAGUCGAGCGAACAGAUGAGGAGCUUGCUCCUCUGACGUUAGCGGCGGACGGGUGAGUAACACGUGGAUAACCUACCUAUAAGACUGGGAUAACUUCGGGAAACCGGAGCUAAUACCGGAUAAUAUAUUGAACCGCAUGGUUCAAUAGUGAAAGACGGUUUUGCUGUCACUUAUAGAUGGAUCCGCGCCGCAUUAGCUAGUUGGUAAGGUAACGGCUUACCAAGGCAACGAUGCGUAGCCGACCUGAGAGGGUGAUCGGCCACACUGGAACUGAGACACGGUCCAGACUCCUACGGGAGGCAGCAGUCGGGAAUCUUCCGCAAUGGGCGAAAGCCUGACGGAGCAACGCCGCGUGAGUGAUGAAGGUCUUCGGAUCGUAAAACUCUGUUAUUAGGGAAGAACAAAUGUGUAAGUAACUAUGCACGUCUUGACGGUACCUAAUCAGAAAGCCACGGCUAACUACGUG